AACUUGUAAAAGUAUCAAAAUCUAAGUUUUCACUGUUUCAUUGGUUACUAAUAAUCUUAUUUGUCACUUUUUUUAUGAUCGUCAUAUUAGGUUAGUCAAAAAGAUUAAUUAGAUUUGCAAUUUUUCUCAUCAAUUUACAUGUAUAUGUGUAAACAACAAUGUCUGAUCAUAGACAACGAUGGUGAUUAUUUGGUUGAAUUUAUUUCUACUGAAUGCAAUAUACAGGGUUUACCAAAAACAAAAGUAGGGUUUCAAGUAACGCAUUCCAUAGCAAUAUCAGUAUGACCUUGAAGAGCGUUGUCAAAGUUACAUGUAGAUAACUUCCAAUUUCUUAAAUAAAAACUCCCAUUGUUUAUUGCAUA
Ooceraea biroi (clonal raider ant) is the source of this 362-nucleotide long non-coding RNA. RefSeq lists it as uncharacterized. Lineage: Eukaryota; Metazoa; Arthropoda; Insecta; Hymenoptera; Formicidae. The record is from RefSeq and is a predicted model, not a curated record.